RNAcentral lists this ribosomal RNA (525 nucleotides) under Mycocentrospora sp. UFMGCB 2526. RNAcentral's name for it is "eukaryotic LSU rRNA". The stretch from base 155 to 308 matches the Rfam family "5.8S ribosomal RNA". Lineage: Eukaryota; Fungi; Ascomycota; Dothideomycetes; Pleosporales. The record is from RNAcentral.
AGGGGACUAUAUUAAACAUACUAGGAAACNACUAGNCUAUGUCUACACCAUGUUUUUUACGCACCUAAAGUUUCCUCGGCGGCUUUGUCCGCCAGUUGGACAACAAUUAAACCCUGGUAGUUAGCAGUCAGCGUCAAAUAAACUUAAUAAUUAAAACUUUCAACAACGGAUCUCUUGGUUCUGGCAUCGAUGAAGAACGCAGCGAAAUGCGAUACGUAGUGUGAAUUGCAGAAUUCAGUGAAUCAUCGAAUCUUUGAACGCACAUUGCACCUCUCGGUAUUCCGGGAGGUAUGCCUGUUCGAGCGUCAUUUGUACCCUCAAGCUCUGCUUGGUGUUGGGUGUUUGUUCCGCCUCUGUGUGUGAACUCGCCUUAAAACAAUUGGCAGCCGGCGUACUUGUUUCGGAGCGCAGCACAUUUAUGCGCUAUUAGACCAAUGUACAGCGGCAUCCAAGAAGCCUUCUUUAACGCUCUUGACCUCGGAUCAGGUAGGGAUACCCGCUGAACUUAAGCAUAUCAAUAAGCGG